Molecule: ribosomal RNA, 397 nt
Filed under: uncultured bacterium
Lineage: Bacteria
Description: partial 16S ribosomal RNA
Rfam family: Bacterial small subunit ribosomal RNA
Source: RNAcentral
AUACGUAGGGGGCGAGCGUUGUCCGGAAUGACUGGGCGUAAAGGGCGUGUAGGCGGCGGAUUAAGUCUGGAGUGAAAGUCCUGCUUUCAAGGUGGGAAUUGCUUUGGAUACUGGUCGGCUUGAGUGCGGAAGAGGUAAGUGGAAUUCCCUGUGUAGCGGUGAAAUGCGCAGAGAUUGGGAGGAACACCAGUGGCGAAGGCGACUUACUGGGCCGUAACUGACGCUGAGGCGCGAAAGCGUGGGGAGCGAACAGGAUUAGAUACCCUGGUAGUCCACGCGGUAAACGAUGAAUGCUAGGUGUAGGGGGUAUCGACCCCUCCUGUGCCGGAGUAAACACAAUAAGCAUUCCGCCUGGGGAGUACGGCCGCAAGGUUGAAACUCAAAUGAAUUGACGGGG